AACGAACGCUGGCGGCAGGCCUCAAACAUGCAAGUCUAGGGGGUGUAGCAAUACAUCACCGGCGGACGGGUGCGUAACGCGUGGGAAUAUACCUAUUGGUUCGGAACAACACAGGGAAACUUGUGCUAAUACCGAAUGUGCCCUUACGGGGAAAGAUUUAUCGCCAAUGGAUUAGCCCGCGUCCGAUUAGCUAAUUGGUGAGGUAACGGCUCACCAAGGCUCCGAUCGGUAGCUGUUCUGAGAGGAAGAUCAGCCACACUGGGACUGAGACACGGCCCAGACUCCUACGGGAGGCAGCAGUUGGGAAUCUUGGACAAUGGGGGGAAACCCUGAUCCAGCCAUGCCGCGUGAGUGAUGAAGGCCUUCGGGUUGUAAAACUCUUUCGACGGGGACGAUAAUGACGGUACCCGUAGAAGAAGCUCCGGCUAACUUCGUGCCAGCAGCCGCGGUAAU
RNAcentral lists this ribosomal RNA (453 nucleotides) under uncultured bacterium. RNAcentral describes it as "bacterial SSU rRNA". It matches the Rfam family "Bacterial small subunit ribosomal RNA", at positions 29 to 524 of the family's 1533-position model. The record is from RNAcentral.